This 497-nucleotide ribosomal RNA is filed under the name uncultured bacterium. RNAcentral's name for it is "partial 16S ribosomal RNA". It matches the Rfam family "Bacterial small subunit ribosomal RNA", at positions 28 to 507 of the family's 1533-position model. The record is from RNAcentral.
GAUGAACGCUGGCGGCGUGCCUAAUACAUGCAAGUCGAGCGAACGGACGAGAAGCUUGCUUCUCUGAUGUUAGCGGCGGACGGGUGAGUAACACGUGGAUAACCUACCUAUAAGACUGGGAUAACUUCGGGAAACCGGAGCUAAUACCGGAUAAUAUUUUGAACCGCAUGGUUCAAAAGUGAAAGACGGUCUUGCUGUCACUUAUAGAUGGAUCCGCGCUGCAUUAGCUAGUUGGUAAGGUAACGGCUUACCAAGGCAACGAUGCAUAGCCGACCUGAGAGGGUGAUCGGCCACACCGGAACUGAGACACGGUCCAGACUCCUAAGGGAGGCAGCAGUAGGGAAUCUUCCGCAAUGGGCGAAAGCCUGACGGAGCAACGCCGCGUGAGUGAUGAAGGUCUUCGGAUCGUAAAACUCUGUUAUUAGGGAAGAACAUAUGUGUAAGGAACUGUGCACAUCUUGACGGUAACUAAUCAGAAAGCCACGGCUAACUACGUG